RNAcentral lists this non-coding RNA (24 nucleotides) under Mus musculus (house mouse). Lineage: Eukaryota; Metazoa; Chordata; Mammalia; Rodentia; Muridae. The record is from RNAcentral.
UGCCUAUGCCAGUUCCAGCCAAGC